This 84-nucleotide transfer RNA is filed under the name Ailuropoda melanoleuca (giant panda). It matches the Rfam family "tRNA". Rfam says of the family: Transfer RNA (tRNA) molecules are approximately 80 nucleotides in length. Their secondary structure includes four short double-helical elements and three loops (D, anti-codon, and T loops). Further hydrogen bonds mediate the characteristic L-shaped molecular structure. tRNAs have two regions of fundamental functional importance: the anti-codon, which is responsible for specific mRNA codon recognition, and the 3' end, to which the tRNAs corresponding amino acid is attached (by aminoacyl-tRNA synthetases). tRNAs cope with the degeneracy of the genetic code in two manners: having more than one tRNA (with a specific anti-codon) for a particular amino acid; and 'wobble' base-pairing, i.e. permitting non-standard base-pairing at the 3rd anti-codon position. Lineage: Eukaryota; Metazoa; Chordata; Mammalia; Carnivora; Ursidae. The record is from Rfam by way of RNAcentral.
GCCCGAGUGGCUCAGUCAGUUGAGCAUCUGCUUUCUGCUCAGGUCAUGAACCCAGGGUCCUGGGAUCAAGUCCCAUAUCGGGCU